This 466-nucleotide ribosomal RNA is filed under the name uncultured bacterium. RNAcentral describes it as "bacterial SSU rRNA". It matches the Rfam family "Bacterial small subunit ribosomal RNA", at positions 329 to 793 of the family's 1533-position model. The record is from RNAcentral.
GGCCAGACUCCUACGGGAGGCAGCAGUGAGGAAUAUUGGUCAAUGGGCGGGAGCCUGAACCAGCCAUGCCGCGUGAAGGCGAGUGCCCUACGGGCGUUAAACUUCUUUUGUGCGGGAGCAAUAAGGGCCACGUGUGGCCCGAUGAGAGUACCGCACGAAUAAGCAUCGGCUAACUCCGUGCCAGCAGCCGCGGUAAUACGGGGGAUGCGAGCGUUAUCCGGAUUUAUUGGGUUUAAAGGGUGCGUAGGCGGCGCUUCAGGUCAGCGGUGAAAUACCGGGGCUCAACCCCGGGGCUGCCGUUGAAACCGGAGCGCUAGAAUUCCGAUGCCGUCGGAGGAAUGUGUGGUGUAGCGGUGAAAUGCAUAGAUAUUACACAGAACACCGAUUGCGAAGGCAGCUUGCUAGGCCGGAUCUGACACUGAUGCACGAAAGCGUGGGGAUCGAACAGGAUUAGAUACCCCGGUAC